UUACCCUGAAAAACCGAGUUUGUGUCACGUGUUCAAUAAACACAGCUCAGUGUUCAGGGUCAUU
This 64-nucleotide microRNA precursor is filed under the name Eisenia fetida (common brandling worm). RNAcentral's name for it is "Efe-Mir-10-P5a_pre stem-loop". The record is from RNAcentral. Lineage: Eukaryota; Metazoa; Annelida; Clitellata; Crassiclitellata; Lumbricidae.